Molecule: ribosomal RNA, 667 nt
Filed under: uncultured soil bacterium
Lineage: Bacteria
Description: bacterial SSU rRNA
Rfam family: Bacterial small subunit ribosomal RNA
Source: RNAcentral
AACGAACGCUGGCGGCUCCGAUAGGCAUGCAAGUCGUACGCGAAAGUCUCCUUCGGGGGAUGAGUAGAGUGGCGAACUGGUGAGUACAAGGUGACUAACCUGCCCUUGAGUGGGGGAUAACUUCGGGAAACCGAAGCUAAUACCGCAUGGUUUCUUGAUCUCUCGGGGUUGAGAAAAAGCAGUAAUGCGCUCAAGGAUGGGGUCACCCCCCAUUAGCUUGUUGGUAGGGUAACAGCCUACCAAGGCUACGAUGGGUAGCUGGACUGAGAGGUUGGCCAGCCACACUGGGACUGAGAUACGGCCCAGACUCCUACGGGGGGCAGCAGUCUAGAGGCUUCGACAAUGCCCGAAAGGGUGAUCGAGCGACGCCGCGUGUGGGAUGAGGGUUUUCGGAUUGUAAACCACUUUUGUUUGGGAAGAAGGCUUGUAUCGUGAAUAUGAGGUUGACGGUACCAAACGAAUAAGCCCCGGCUAACUCCGUGCCAGCAGCCGCGGUAAGACGGAGGGGGCAAGCGUUGUUCGGAAUCAUUGGGCGUAAAGGGCUCGUAGGCGGACUUGUAAGUCUGGCGUGAAAUCUCCACCGCUCACCGGGGAGAGGUCGCUGGAUACUGCAAGUCUUGAGUUCGGUAGAGGGUCGUGGAAUUUCGGGUGUAGCGGUGGAAUGCGU